RNAcentral lists this small nucleolar RNA (107 nucleotides) under Sorghum bicolor (sorghum). RNAcentral's name for it is "Plant small nucleolar RNA R71". It matches the Rfam family "Plant small nucleolar RNA R71". From Rfam's summary of the family: R71 is a member of the C/D box family of snoRNAs containing the C (UGAUGA) and D (CUGA) box motifs. Multiple nearly identical copies of this snoRNA have been identified in Arabidopsis, and it is thought to function as a 2'-O-ribose methylation guide for 18S ribosomal RNA. Lineage: Eukaryota; Viridiplantae; Streptophyta; Magnoliopsida; Poales; Poaceae. The record is from Rfam by way of RNAcentral.
AUUACAUGAUGGGGACAUUCUAGGAUGUAGUCUUGAAAGCGCUCCCAUGCUUCUGGAACUGAUUCAUCAUUUUGUUGCUGAAAACUUGUAAUCUUCCCACAGAGAGC